UUUUUUUUUUUUUCCCUCAUACCUUUCGUGGAUCAUCUGUGCAGUGUUUUACCCCUAAAUGUAUAAAGAACUUUUGCAUGGUUGGAACUGUCUCAGGUUGCAACAGGCCACUUGGAGAGACAAGCAGUGAGCCUCUGUGAACUUGUGUUUUACUGUGCUCCGUGUUUGUCACUGCACAUGAUGUGGGGACCCUGACAUCAUCCCAUGGCCCUCCACGGGGCCAAAAUGGAAGAAGCGCUGCCUGAAUGCAGGAGGGUGGACAGACUGUCACUGAUGAGCUCGCACAGCAGCCAGGCUGAGCGGCCUUCUCCAUAGAGCCCAGGGGUGCUCAGGUCGGGCUCAUCUUCAAUUACAGAAUUGGCUGGCUCACAAACAGGCUGGAGGGAGUCCUCUGUCUCAAACCAGACACCUGCAUGCCUGUGACAGAUCUGUCCCCACAGGCCAUUCUCUGAGCACAGCACAGCUGAAUCCAGAACAAACACCUCUCUCAAAGGGCCUGUGUUUCAUUUAAUAGAGUUCAAAUUGAGUGUCCAGAAACCUUGAUGCUUUUUUAUUUCUUCAAUGCCUUCUGCAGCAGCUGAAGGGAUUCCCUGGGCCCCCACCCCGCCCACAUCUCAGGACCUCCUCACCUGCGAGGUCUGCCACUGCCACAACUUCUCAAUUGUUCUAAAAUAGUGCCCGGUGCCCAAGGUGAGUUAUUGAAGGGCUGGCUGAAAAUCUGGGGACCUGCAUAUAUAAUACAUCUGCAGAACUUCUGGGCAGGAGCUGUGUUCAUAAUUGCUUCUAGAGCCUGGGUGAGCAACAAAAUUAAAACUUUUUAAAAACACAGAUUCAAAAGUCCCACCCUAGGCUAAUGGACUUAGAAUCUCAGAUGAUAGGGUCUGAGAAUGUGAGUUUUUAACAAGUAAUAUUAGUUGGUUAUUACUACAUACACCCCAAAAUGCAUGGCUUAAAGCAGUAAGCAUUUAUUAUUUCUCUUGAAUCUACAGGUCAUCUGAGCAGUUCUCCUGAUCUCAGCUGGGCUCAUUCAUUCAUCUAUGGUGAAUGUAGUUUGGGUAGGUAGCUCUACUGAUCCAGGCCAGGCAACUUCACUUUGGGGAGAAUCAACUAGCUAAAGGCUAGUCUAUGAGGAGGUUGGUUGGGAUUGCUGGGCCCCCAUCCAUAUGAUCUCUCCUCUUCCAGGAGGUCACCCUGGGCUUGUUCACAGGGGCUCUGAGGAGCUAAAGCAAGUAAGACUUCUUGAGGCCUAAGCUUGGAACAGGCACAUUGUACUUUCAUCUCAUUCCACCGGCCAAAGCAAGUCCUAAGGCCAGUCCAGACUCAUUAGAGAAAGGGAAUGGGAUCUCCGUCUUCAUGGGAGAGGCUGCAAAGGCCCACAACAAGAAGCAUGGACAUUGGAAGGAAUGAAAAUUGAGAACAUUUCUGCAAUCAAUCUGCUGCAUAUGUCCCCUGGUGAGCCUAAUGCAGGCAGCCUGGCAUCAAUCUACAGACCAUCUGUGUAUUCCAGGGAUAAAUGGUGUCCUCUCAAGAUGCCUACAGAGAAGGCCACUCAAGGCCUCCCAUUGUGUUAUUCAUCCAUGGGGCUUAAUUAAUUCUCAUAUCACAGAGUCUGCACCUUGUUACUGGUACCAAAACCUCAAUCUUGUCAGCACUACAUAGGUAAUCUUGGGCCUGGCUGACCUCACCCAACUCACAAAAGCCUCAGUUCUUACUAACCAAGAGCGAAUCAAUUCAUUUACACAGCAUUCUUUCCCUAAAAGCAGAGACAUGGAAAGACCAAUCAGAACCAGAAGUCUGCUUUAUGUAUCAGGUAGGAUGUUUUCAGUUGCCACUGAUACAAAAAUCAGCUCAAGCAACUGAAGCAAAGAGAGCAAGUUCACACAUUUGUUUAAGUCUGGGUGUUGGCCUGUCUUGACCCAAGAGCUUAAACAAUGCCUUCAGGCUACUCCUCUCCAUCUUUUGUCUCCGUCUUCUGCUGCAUAGGUUCCAUUCUCAAGCUGCAGUAGAAUACUCAGCAAGAGUAUUCUAGUAUCUAGAAGACUGACAUCCUCACAGGCUCAAGACCAAUUGAAAAAGAAAGUGUGUUUUGUCUCUCAAUAUUCCAGCAAAAUCUUGUUUCUUCUUACUGACUCUGAAUGGGACACAUGGCCAUCUCUAAGCCAAUCACUAUGGGAGGAGAAUAUGAUAUUGUCUAUGCUGAUGAGGAUGGACUAACAAGAUAAAUAAGAACUGUAGUAUGUCAGAUGGUGACUAGUGUCAGAGGAAAAAAUAGAGCAGAGAAGGAGAACAGAAAAUGUCAGAGUAGGGGCUCAAUUUUAAACAUGGUGGCCAAAGAAGAUAUCACUGAAAAGUAUAGAUCAAACGUGGGCCUCGGCAAGGUGUGCAGAUGCCUACAGAAGGGCAAUCCAAACAGAAAGUAGAGCCAGCGUGAAGUCCCUCGGGCAGGGGUGGGAUGGUCUCAUUGGCUCUUUGUUCCCAUACAUUUAGAGAUACCCCAGCCCCCCCAGCCCUGGACAGGGGACUGUGGAUUAAUCAUCUGGUUUAAGCUCCUACUCAUGCAGAUGAAGCCAGACACUUUAAUCCUCAAUUUUUAUUUUUGUCUGUUAUGACCAUGACAUUUUUAAGGCUCAUGGGCCAGUUAUUUUGCAGAAUGUCCCUCAAAUUAAGGGUCUGAUGUUCCUCAAUCACAUCUAAGUUACACAUAUUGGACAGAGAUACCAUAGCAGUGAUGGUGUGUUCUGCUCAGUGUGUCAAAUCAAGAGACCCAUGACAUCAAUUUGUCUCAUUCCAAGAUGUUAACUUUGAUCAUCUCAUUAAGGUGCUGUGUGUCAGGCUUCUACACGUUUCUGUUUUUCCAUUUGCCACCCUAAAUAUCUUAUGGAGAGGCACUUAAAGAUUAUGUUAAUAUCCUGUCUAUCAAACUUUCACCCCCUUGUUUUGACAGCUUUUUAAAAAAAAAUCCCAGGCAAUUCAAAUGUGCAGCCAGGACUGAGAACAUUCCCUAGGGCCUCCCUGUUCCUACAUCCUUUAAAACUAGGAGAAAGAGAUACUGCACAGUCUUCUUCCAGGAAUCGCUGUUCAGUGUGGGCCACAGAGGAAAAUAGGCACAGUGGGCUUAGCACUGCCCACUGUGGCUAAGCAUGAGGUGAGGGAGCCCUGGGCAGAGCAGCUUCAGACUCAGCCAGGGAGGUCAGAGUCAACAUUAAGCAGAGCCUACAGCAGCUCUGGUCCAAUGGCUCUUAGCCUGGGAUGUUUCUCCAUCCAAGUUUGACCUAUUGCAGAAGAGCCCCUCUGUUCUCUGCCCACUCUCCACAGCACCCCAAGAUGUCAGGCCCCUCUGGCUGCAGCAGAUGAAGCAGGACACUGCAGCCAGGAAGUGGGAUCCACAUAGGGUAACCAACUGUCCCAGUUCAUCUAGGACUGAUGAGAUGCCCUGGACACAGGACUUUCAGACUUAAAAAUCAGGAAAGUCCCAGGCAAAUCAGGAUGAGUUGAUCACUCUAACAACCCACUGUAGUGUAGACAUACCUGGUACCCAGUAACCAAGAACUAUACCUAGAAGUGAUCUAGAAAUUCAGGUUUAAAUUAAUUGAUCUAAAAGAUGAGAAGGACAUCUGGUCUUUAAGAAAUUGAUAGGUCCAAAGGUACAGAGCAAGAUUUAGGGGAUGAGCAGAGGGUUCUAUUUUGAUGCAAAUGAGGCACAGAGAUCAAAUGGGACUGAAAGAAGUCCAUAAACCAAACUGGGCUGGUGACUGGUGUGAAUAAGAAAAUGGAGAUAAAGUGCCUUCCCUCCUUCAAGUUCCCACAAGUGUCUCUCCUUCAGAGUUCUGACAGCUGUCAGAGGAUUCAGGCACUAAAAUGAUUAUGAUAUCCACCUCUCUACCCCUACUGCACAUAUAUAUACAUAAUAUAUAAUUCCAAAGACAAAAUGUAAGGAAUUUCAAUAAAAUUCACAACCUCCCUUUCCACUUUGUUGAUGGCCCCAUCUGCUGCUUUUCUAGCAGUGUACCUGUUCUACCUCUUGGGCCCUCCAGCCUUGCUCCUUGCACUGCAAUGCCCUGCUGACCUGUUUGUCUCCUGCUCAGCACUGGAAGCUCCCAGAGCGCAGAUAUUCUACUUAAAGCAUGUCCAUACUCCCAACCAGGGCUGAGCACAAGGACCAAAUAGAUGGCAUUCUCAAAGUAGGCAAUUUGAAGAGAGUUUAAUAAAGGGCUAUUUAUAAAGAUGUGGGCAAGGUGUAGGAUGGUGACUCUCUAUGUUACUACACAUUAAAUGUCCUAGAGAGUCUUAGAAAUCACUGCUUCCUGGAUCUCAUCCCCAGAGAAUAUGACGGAAUUAGUCUAGAGUUGCACCGCUCAGCAUGGUGACCACAUGUGGCUAUUGAGCAUUUGCAAUGUGGCUGGCCCAAAUCAAAAUGUUUUAAGUGCAAGACAUGUAGCAGAUUUUGGAGGCUUAGUACCAAAAACAAGAAUGCAAAAUAUCUCAUUCAUCAUAUUUCAGAAUGAUAUCUUAUUAAAAUGGUAAUAUUUGAACACUGGGAUAGAUAAAAUAUAUCAUAGAAAUUAAUUUUGUCUGGUCAAGUUUUUUUUUUUUUUUUACUUUUAAUAUAAUGUAGCUACUAGACAAUUUAAAAUUACAUAUGCGGCUCAAAUUAUAUUUCUGAUGGACAGUAUAGGUCCAGAGCAUAGCUUGACAUCAGACUGGAA
RNAcentral lists this long non-coding RNA (4706 nucleotides) under Canis lupus familiaris (dog). Its description in RNAcentral is "lncRNA (ENSCAFG00000054184.1)". Lineage: Eukaryota; Metazoa; Chordata; Mammalia; Carnivora; Canidae. The record is from RNAcentral.